Molecule: ribosomal RNA, 406 nt
Filed under: uncultured bacterium
Lineage: Bacteria
Description: bacterial SSU rRNA
Rfam family: Bacterial small subunit ribosomal RNA
Source: RNAcentral
GUGGGGAAUAUUGCGCAAUGGGCGAAAGCCUGACGCAGCAACGCCGCGUGAGGGAUGAAGGCCUUAGGGUCGUAAACCUCUGUCAAAUGGGAAGAAUUAUGACGGUACCAUUAAAGGAAGCCCCGGCUAACUCCGUGCCAGCAGCCGCGGUAAUACGGAGGGGGCAAGCGUUGUUCGGAAUUAUUGGGCGUAAAGCGUAUGUAGGCGGUUAAACAAGUCAGGUGUGUAAGCCCACGGCUCAACCGUGGAAUUGCAUUUGAAACUGUUUGACUUGAGUUCAGGAGAGGAAAGUGGAAUUCCCAGUGUAGCGGUGAAAUGCAUUGAUAUUGGGAAGAACAUCGGUGGCGAAGGCGGCUUUCUGGCCUGACACUGACGCUGAGAUACGAAAGCCAGGGGAGCGAACGGG